AAACGAGAGAGGUCAGUUCGGCUGGAUCGGUGACAGGUGCUGCAUGGCUGUCGUCAGCUCGUGUCGUGAGAUGUUGGGUUAAGUCCCGCAACGAGCGCAACCCUCGUCCUUAGUUGCCAGCAUAAGUUGGGCGCUCUAAAGGGACUGCCGGUGUUAAACCGGAGGAAGGUGAGGAUGACGUCAAGUCCUCAUGGCCUUUAUGACCAGGGCUACACACGUACUACAAUGGCCGAUACAAAGGGCAGCGACACUGCGAGGUGAAGCCAAUCCCGUAAAAUCGGUCUCAGUCCGGAUUGGAGUCUGCAACUCGACUCCAUGAAGUUGGAAUCGCUAGUAAUCGUGGAUCAGCAUGCCACGGUGAAUACGUUCCCGGGCCUU
RNAcentral lists this ribosomal RNA (378 nucleotides) under uncultured Desulfobulbus sp. RNAcentral describes it as "bacterial SSU rRNA". It matches the Rfam family "Bacterial small subunit ribosomal RNA", at positions 1003 to 1382 of the family's 1533-position model. The record is from RNAcentral. Lineage: Bacteria; Pseudomonadati; Thermodesulfobacteriota; Desulfobulbia; Desulfobulbales; Desulfobulbaceae.